UUGGUGGGGUAAUGGCCUACCAAGGCGACGACGGGUAGCCGACCUGAGAGGGUGAUCGGCCACACUGGGACUGAGACACGGCCCCUACUCCUACGGGAGGCAGCAGUGGGGAAUAUUGCACAAUGGGCGCAAGCCUGAUGCAGCGACGCCGCGUGAGGGAUGACGGCCUUCGGGUUGUAAACCUCUUUCACCAGGGACGAAGCGGAAGUGACGGUACCUGAGAGAGAAGCACCUGCCCCCUACGUGCCAGCAGCCGCGGUAAUACGUAGGGUGCGAGCGUUGUCCGGAAU
RNAcentral lists this ribosomal RNA (290 nucleotides) under uncultured Gordonia sp. RNAcentral describes it as "partial 16S ribosomal RNA". It matches the Rfam family "Bacterial small subunit ribosomal RNA", at positions 249 to 551 of the family's 1533-position model. Lineage: Bacteria; Bacillati; Actinomycetota; Actinomycetes; Mycobacteriales; Gordoniaceae. The record is from RNAcentral.